Molecule: long non-coding RNA, 1267 nt
Organism: Cebus imitator (Panamanian white-faced capuchin)
Lineage: Eukaryota; Metazoa; Chordata; Mammalia; Primates; Cebidae
Exons: 2
Source: RefSeq, a predicted model, not a curated record
AAGACAGCCUGAGCAGAAGCUGUGAGAGUAGACAGACACCAGGGAGAGGGACUGCUAACGAUGGUGUUAUUUUAAAACUAGCCUUGUGUGGCAUGUUUUAAAAUUUUCAUUCUCACACCUUCCAAGACCUUCAUCGCAUUGUGAAAAUUUUUGAAUUUAUAUUUUGUUUAUGUUUUGGUGUAGAACUGUGUGUGCUAAAGGACACAGAUUCUACUACUGGAAGUUCAAGGUUCUUAUUUCAGGAGGACAUUGUUAAUGUAGGAAUGUUAACUGGGUCAUGCUCACCAGUAGGUGGGGACAUUGCACUUUAGGAAUGCAAGGGAGUUGUUGCUUUCUCUCUUCUCCUUGCCUUGGCAGGUCUGGACUUGAGAGGCCAGUAUUCCCUGAGGGGGGUAACUCAGGCACUCUUAUUUCCUGAACUCAUCCUUCCAUGUGUUCAGGAUGUGAUGCAAUCUGAGGUGCAGUUUUGGAUGUUUGAGAAGCAGAGAAGCACCGCUGGAGCAGGAGUUAAAGUCUGCUUUUGUUUGAGAACUGAGGAGCUCAGUAUUCUACAUACUCUCGCAGUUUUCCAUGGCUGUGGGACAAUGAACUUCAUGUAUUACCCCAGACAAUGACAUCGAUUCAGCAGGACUGCCACCAAGAUUCCAGAACUGUAGAGCUACCAACAUCCAAAGAGCUUGGAAAAGACAGGAUGCCUGACUCUAAUCCAGAAGAACAGCCACUUGUGGAGUGCAACCAGCAAAGCCAUGUGGGCAGGGCUGCCUGAGGACUUGAGGGCCCAACUCCUGCCACAGUGUGCUCAGGAUGAGGGACACAGGCUCGGAAGAGAUUAUUUCCAGCUUUAAAACGGAGUGUCUUCCCUGUUGGGUUUUGGACUUCCUUGAGGCCUGUUACUCCUUUCUUCUGGUCUAAUUCUCCUGUCUCAGCAUUGUAUCUUAGCGGUAGAUAACUGGUUUUAAUUUCACAGGCUCACAGAUAGGGAUUAUUUUGGAUUUCUGAGUUGAUACCAGAACAAGUUAAGACCUUAGGGAUCUGGGGAUGGAAUGAACGUAUUUGCAUGUAAGAAAAAUACGAGUUUUGUUGGUGAGGGCAGGGGUGAAAUGCUAUGGCCUAAAUGUUUAUUCCCUCUAAAACUCAUGCUGAAACUCAAUCCCCACUGUAACGGUAUUAACAGAGUGGAAAAUCAGACUAUGAUAUUUCAGGGGUGGAACCUUUUGCAAGGCAAUCAUUUGUAAGGAUCUAUUAAAGUAACUCCCCUUCAUUUUUA